This 22-nucleotide small RNA is filed under the name Arabidopsis thaliana (thale cress). RNAcentral describes it as "ATSL013840". Lineage: Eukaryota; Viridiplantae; Streptophyta; Magnoliopsida; Brassicales; Brassicaceae. The record is from RNAcentral.
CGCUGACUGUGUUGGCUGCAUG